RNAcentral lists this non-coding RNA (252 nucleotides) under Clostridiales bacterium. Its description in RNAcentral is "T-box sequence". It matches the Rfam family "T-box leader". Rfam says of the family: Uncharged tRNA acts as the effector for transcription antitermination of genes in the T-box leader family. T-boxes are found upstream of many aminoacyl-tRNA synthetase genes and some amino acid biosynthetic genes usually in Gram-positive bacteria. Lineage: Bacteria; Bacillati; Bacillota; Clostridia; Eubacteriales. The record is from RNAcentral.
GGAAAUGCUGUGAAGAAGGAAAGUAGCGUAAAUGGACCAUACAGAGAGGAUUCCCAAAGCUGAGAGGGUUUCUAUGAAGAAGCUUAUGCGAAGUGCCCUUCGGAGUUAUGUGCCGAAAUAUAAAUUUUUAUUUAUACAGUAGGCUGCAUCGGAUUCACCCGUUAUAGUGAUAGAGCAUAGUAAUGUGCUUGAGUAAGGUGGGAUAAUUUAUCCAAUUAGAGUGGAACCGCGGAGUUUAACUUCGUCUCUUAU